GGCUGGAAACCCAAAUGGAGACUAGGCCAUCACGUCUUAUAUACAUAUGAUACAUUUCACAUAGAAUUACAUGAGUACUUUAAAACCACGUAGAAGACCUAUGAGGUACAAAAUUUUCAUUAUCAUUAUCGUCUCUCUGUGUAGAGUCUUCAGUGUAUUGUGAAUAAUAGUUAUUAAAUGAUAUCUCACCUUUGUAGUUUUAUAUGUAUUGAAAUAAGAAGUGUAGGUUAAAAAAAGUUUUUUUUUUUUUUAUUGGAGUGUAGGUAAAAAAUUAGUUGGGGAUUAGACAUUUACCUUAAUUUUUUUACUUUUCAGAUUACGGAAAAAAAAACUAAUAUAUAUUAUAAAGAUAGCACAAUAUAUAAGUUGGAUGGUUAGUUGGGUUGGUUAAGGUGUUAAAAUUUAGCAUUUUGCGUGGUCAAACUGUCAAAGUCAAAGAGUCAGAGUUCGGCACAUGGGGGUGACAGUCAAAGAGUCAGAGUUCGGCACAUGGGGGAGGUUUGGGCGGGAAAGUAGAAAACUUGAUUUCAGUGGGAAACGCGGUGAGAUUUCAAAGUUUCGGGAAAAUAUCGAAAAUUUCAGACGAAAAAUUUUGGGAAGAGAAAGAUAUUUUGCCUGGUGUCUGGUGAUAAAAAUGAAAUUUUCGGCGAUAUCACCGAAAAUAUCGAUUUUUUCUUCCUUGCUUACAUCGACCUUUAUACCUGUAACAAUCCGUGAAAUUUUGAAGAAGGGUUUAAGGAGUAACCAUGAAUUCAUGAUAUCUAUAAAAUCGAGAAUUUCUUUUAUAAAAUUAUUUAAAAUUUUUAACCUACCUCUUUAAAAAAAAUUUAUUGAAAUAUCUUAAACCACCUCAUUCGUGCAUACGUCAAUGAGAUUUGAACUCAUUAUUUGUAAUAUUAAUUAGGCUAUCUAAGGGUUCUCUAACGACUUAUAACUCACCGAUUGUAAAAUAGAGAAUAUGGUUUAAGUUUGUUUUUAUCUAAAGAUAGUGGUUACGAUAACUUGUCACUUACCGGUCUUCAAAAAAACACUACUGUGGUGAUUUUUUUUAAAGAUCAUUACCCAACUAGCACCUUACACUUAAAGUUCGUACUGACAUACUGAUGUAGCCACAUCAACGCAACUUUAAACAAAGUAACGAUUGACUACGUUUUAAAGCAUCCUUUGCAAAACGGUGGGCAACUUAAUUGUCUUCCCAUCUCACAAAGCAGUUCCUUCAAUUAGGAAAAGACUAAAUUAAAGACUUGAGACAUCUCCAACAAUUGUCCUAUAAUCUAUACCUAAAUUUAAAAUUUGACUCACCCAAACCUAUUUUUUUUAUAUGGGUUUUGCAUCUCCAACCCUUAUUGCCAAAAGACUCAAAACCUAAACCAAAUCAUGUGAGAACUCCUCAAUUGAUGAAUGUGAAAUUUAGGAUUCCUUCUAUAAAGUUGGGUCAAAAUAAGAUCUUUUUUAGGUUUAAAUCUAUUUUGGCUCAACCAAACACCAUACGUUAAUCUACUCUGCAAAAACAAGAGUCCCUUCUCUAGGGUUUCAAAACUUUUGCAAACCUUCCGUCCGACGGCGCGUCUGAUAGCGACGUCGUCGGACAUGAUUUGAGGGCAGCCAUCUCGUGGUCUUGUUGCAUAGGUUGGCAGUGGAAGCAGGGAGUUAGGUUGAUGGUAACAGCGGUUCAGACGUUGUUGGCAUGAUUGGGUGCAGAGCAAACUGUUUCGGCAUGGAAGUAUAGUCGUCGGGAGAUGCAGUGAUGCGAGGUUGGAGUGGCGGUGAGGACGUAUUAGUGUAGGUCUGACCGGAUCGAUCUAAUCAGGUUUAGACCUCGUUGAUGCGUUUUCGGUUCAUAUCUAGAAGGGAGGGAGUUGUUGUGUUGCUUUGUUGUGGUGACGCCGUGGUGCUUUGCUUCAGUGACACCGCGUUGCUUUGCUGCGGUGGAGCUAGCUCUUGACGGUGUUUCGACUUUGGUGGUGAGGCGACACUUCAUGGUCAGGUUGUGCCAAGUGGUUUUUUUGGGUUGUUGGGCUUGGGUCUAUGUUGGACCGAGGUCCAAUGGGUUAUUCUUUUUUCUUUUUUGUUUUGUUUUUUUGUUUUUAGAUUGGUUUAGUCGUCCCUCCUCAUUUUUGAGCGAGGGUUUAGGCCUCCUCUUUGAGCCAGGACUUGUGAUUUUAGUAGGUUGGUGUCGGGGUCGUGUCAUUGGGUGUGUCAUAAUUAUUAUAUCAAUCGUUUCCAAGGACUAUUUUAAUGUCAGUGAGUUCUUGUUGUCAAUGUAACUGGGAGGUUACGUACAUGUGCAUAUAUGUCUGUAAUUUUGGUAUAUAGUGUUUAAAAUGGUUGUUUCUUCUUGAGGUUAACUAUGAGGAUGUAUCGAGGCUUUUAAAUUAGAUUAGGUUACGGUUGAACCUUUUUUCGGUUCUUGUCCACUGUAAUCGCUAGUUAUAACGUUGGAUUAAUUAUUAUAGAAAUUUUCCUUUAACAAAAAAAACAAACAAACAAACAAACAAACUUAUUUUGGCUCAAGUUGUAUUUGGGUUGGAGAUGCAAAAUUGAAAAACCUAAACCUGAUUAAUCACCGAAAGAGUGUCUCCUAGCCUUCGGCUUCGGGUAUUUCAAUGUUGGAGAAGCCUGCAUGUGCUGCAAAUCGAAGUCCAUCAAGCAGUGCUAGAGCCUUCUUGCAGGUAAGCUGUCCAUCCCCCAUGGUCUCUAAAAAUAAUUCCCAUUCCACAUACACCAGUUGAGCAACAAUUGUUGGAGUAUGAGCAAAAAAUGAAUAAACACCCACCCCGAAAUAGAUCACCGCCGGUGGCCUGGUCACAGGAAAGUAUUGGUAAAUCGAGAUUUCACUCUGACUCUCUGAGGCUUUCAGCAGCAACCCAAGUGCCUUAAGUCCUUGCCACCCAUUUCUCCUACUUGAUUAUCUUCUAUUACCUAACUAUACAUCCUAUACGCAUCAAAUGUGGGUAUAAUAGGUACAUAAUCGAUUGAGAACACUGCAGAUUUAGCUAGUGGGAUGCAGCUAGCACUUUACCACUUAUGAUUUCUCCACGCAAUGAAGGAGAUCCAAAUUUACAAUCAAGUCGAUCGAUCCAUGGUAUAUAUAGAAGUGGAGCCGAUCAGAUUCCACUUCUCACACAAAUGACUAUUAUUCCUCAAAGCUGAAGAUCACACAUGGUAAUUAGGAGGUUUUUUUUCCCCCUUUCUAAAGUGAAUGAACAUUACCACUCAAAAAUUUUGUGUUGUUUAGAUGUAUGAUCAUUAGUUAGACGACACCUCUUUCUUAAUUAUAUAAUCAUUACAGAAGGGUCGGGAAAGACAUGGAUCAAUCUAUCCCAGUCACUUUCAGCAACCAGUGCAGGAUUCCUUAUCUGCUUAUCUCCAUUAAUCAGCAGGUGGGACACAACCAGCGACCUAGCUUGCAUCAAAACAUGAUCGAUCAUAUAUAGUCGAUCAUCAAACACAGAGAAGCGAUCCAGCUACUCUUCAAAACUGGGAAGCUAACUACAUAUAUACAGCUCCUCGAUCUAUAUUGCUCUUACAUCUAUGUGGGAUUCGAAAAUAUAAUCCAUCGCUUUAAUUUGCUCGAUCUUUGUCAAGAAUAAACUUGAUUCGUGUAAUGUUGUUAGUUGUUACAUGUAUAUGUAUACCCGAGCUUCCAUAUUCCUCGCAAAUGAUUCGAUCAUUCUACUCGAUCGAGCUAAUAGAUCACACAUGGUAGGAGGCUCGCUAGCAAACUCUAGAAGCAUCAAAACCUUAAAAAACAACUCUCAAUUAAUUAAUCUACGACGUACCCAGAAAUUUAAUAUCUCCUUCACUUGGAAUCAAAUCUCAAAUCACUCAACUCUUUGAAUGAAUAUUAUUUGUAGACUAAUAAAUCAAGAGGGGACAAGGGAAUCUCAUCGUCACCCUCUUUUUGAAUGCUACAUGAGUGGACUCAAAAAUCACUAUGAGCGAGGUUCUCUAUCAAACAUCUCUGUUCAUCAAAAUUGAUUUGUUUUUUGUUCGAUUAGAUUUAAAUAUACGUGCACCUUCAUGCACCAAUACCAUUACCAGCUGUCGUACAUAUUAUUAUAGGGAUGGAAUACAGAUAUUCCUCAUUUUAUUAUGGCUCACUUCGAUCGAUCUAGCUCCCAUCCCAUCUCAUGUGUGCUAAUCAAUUAAUUUGUUUGUGCAUUAUAUUCAUCUGAUUGAUGAGAACCUCAAUUGUCUGUUCGUCAUUGAUAAUUUGAUACCAAAAUGGUCCCAGAAUUGCUUCCAAGAAUUUCUCUAUUGCAAUUGGUAUGCUUUUUGGAAUUAUACGGGAGGAUGUUCGAGUUUUGAUACGAUCGAAAGCACCAGUAAUUCGACCUUGAAUUCUUAUCGUCCCCAGCAGCCAUAUAUCCUCGAUCGAUCGAAUCUGGUCAAAAUAGCAAACAACCAUCAUAUGUACAUGCAUCACUAGUUAGUAAUGGUCCCUCAUGGCCCAUAAUAUGUGAUAACAUAUAGACUAAAAUAAACAAAUAUUGCCUUUACAAAAAAAAAAAAAAAUUAAGAAUAACAUCUUGAUUUUUUGAUAAACUUGGAGGCAAUCUCAGCUAGAUUGAGUUAGAUUAGAAAUGCCAACGUUCCAAUGUAUGACAAUAGAGUACUCAUGCUUUGGUGCAUCAUGAACAGCACACAUGAUUUGUGCUAGUUCUGAAAACUCUAAGCCAAAAUGAUAUUAUAGUUUGCUCGAUCAUCCGAGAAUGACUAAAACUUAGUUGAAGACUAGAAAAGCUGAAAAGGUUCGAGUAUAGAACUUACGAAAGAUGCUUCAAAUCGACAGCUAGAUCUUCAUCUUCCCUAUCAUCCUCCUGCUUGUUUCGUUUUAGCAUCACAAACCUGCAAACAAGGCCAAAGAACGAAUUACACCUAAAAAAAAUUAAUCAAGAUAAGCACGUAAAUAUAGAGAAAACAACAAAGACUGAAAUUGUAGGACUCAGACCGACGGAAAGACCGGAAAGAGAUGAGGAUCAGAUCAGAGUUUGCAUGCUCGGCGCCCAUAAUACAUUGACACAUUACAGAGGCACAGUACGUUAAACGGUGACACAUCACAUAGAUCAAAACUACGUGGCAAAUAUAUACAGGUGAUCUGACACAACCGGCUGUUACGCUUACGCAUUCAGCACAGAUUACAAUGUACAACGAACAACGUCGUUAACGGACUCUAUCUAACCACCGGGAAACGACGCCGUUGUUCAAUACUGGCCGGAAUUAGAGGACCAGAAGGAAGAGGAUAGAACCAGAACAUAGAUAUAUAAAAAGCACUCACCAAAUCACAAAAAAUGAGGAACUUGGAGUAGUACAGAAAAUUCAUUAAUCGCCACGGGUAAAAAUAGGCAACCCUUCUGAACGAUUACAUCAUGUAAUAUAUAUACUCGAUCUGUUUCAUUGUUUUUUUUUUUUUGGGAUUUUUUAGGCUUUGGUGUUGGAUGUCGGCAAUGGCAUAUGGGAUUUAGACCGGCCGACUAGUCUCAGUGAUUCAAGGUGUUGACGCUGCCUUGCAUUUGGUGUGUUAUUGCCAGUGGUUUCCGUUGUGGACGAGAUAGAGACGGCUAGGGUUUCUAUGAGUGUGGUAAUUAUCACAGUGAGGAGCUUUCCCAGCUGGAGCUCGCUGAAACGGCGCCGAAUGCGAAACUUGACGGAGGCAACGCUCCGCCGGCAAAGGCAGGGAGAAUCUGGGAGUGGAUCCGGAGGCACAGGUUGUACUGUGAUUGGAAGACGAGGAUUUCGAGGAAGAGGCCGAGGAAGACGGAGGAGACGACGUAGUUUUGUUGACGGGGAGCGAAAGGAAGGCCCUGAUCUUCAACGGCGUGGCGGCCGCCGCAGCUCUGUCGUACUCCUCGAUGAGAUUGGCGAGGUCUUCGUCGCACUUUAUGGAGAUAAGGGCGUCGAGGUCUUCGGUUGGCAGUUGGCAACGGAGACCGACGGUUGUGCCACACAGCUCUCCGAGCUUCAACAAUAGCUCUGUAAAUGACCAAAAAAACCCUCAUGAGCUCAGUUUUACCACGAAUAUAUACGUAAAAUCAAUGAUAUGAUAACUGAUCAUAAUCUCUUCUAAACAGUGAACACACUGACAUGUUACGUGUGAACAAACGAAAAAGGGAAUAGCGGAGGUGGAACUGACCAGAGAAGGAAAUGGAGCGGUGGACGGCAAGGACGCGGGUUUCGCCGCCGAGAUAACGGAGCUUGCCGUCGGGGUAACGGGGGAGGAUUUUGCCGCUGUAGCUGCAGAGGAAUUUGAGAGCGAGUUUGGUGGGAUCAGCUGAAGGUCCGACCAUGUUGGCUUUAACUUUAGGGGUUUCGAGUAAAAGAAAAGGAGGGAGGAGUGGGGAUUUGAGAAGAGGAGGAGGGAGGAGAAGGUUGUAGGCUAGACUUGGAGUUGUGUGUUCAAGCCUAUGUAUGGAACCCUUUGGACCUCAUUUAUAGAAUUUUGAUUUGCAGAGAGGGGGUGGUACGUGGCAGAGACAAAGUGAAAGGAGAAUGGGGUUGGUCAGCUUACGUAGGUGGCCGUGGAUUAGAUUCCUAUUCCUGUGGAGAAAAAGCCGACCUCAUACUGUACGUAACUUUCUUUUUCCCGGUCAUUUUUUCUUGGCCAUCAAAUUUAUAUGUUUUUGGUGCUUCAUCAAUAAAUUAUUUGGUGAUUAUCAAACAGUGUCAUAUGUCUGUCUUCUUUUCUCGAUCUCUUUACUCUUGCUUAAUUUGUGUUAAGAUUUUUAUUCGUGUCGACUAAUUUGUUAACUUGGCAGCAUAUACCAUUUGAACAAAGACUAUUCAUUUCAUAUAUAGUAAGAAAAUUCUAGGCAUUUGGAUUCUCUUGGGUUAUACCGGGUCUUGGGUAACAUCUCCGAUCGAUUACGAACAAAAUGUUGUUAAUUACUUUCUCCGCUUAUAAACACGUAUGAAGUACUUACGAUACGAUUAUGGGGUAUUUACGAUUUUGUGCAUACUAAAAUGACAAUAAGAUGAAGAUGGAAAUUAAAACAUUUAAUAUACAUUGCAAUAAUUGUUUGAUAAAGACUCACGGAGUCACGUAUUUUCUUAGUUCGAUAUGCAAAAUUUAACAAUUCCGAUGUAACCCGUUCGUGAUAUUUUGGAAUAACAUCAUUGUCAAUUGGCUUAAUUAGAAUGAUCAUUCCCAGCAUACCCAUGUUCAGAGUCAUUUUCGUGGAAGCAAAACUCUAAUGCAAGGGUAAAGCAUGGGAUCCACUAUUCGAAAGUCUGUUCUUGGAGCAAAUCAUGACUGAAAAAAUGCUGCUCGACUUGGGUCCCUCCUUCUACCUAUAGCCUCCAAUGAAAAUGUCAAGAUUUGAGUGGAUAUAUAUAGCAGCUACGUCCUCUCCAUAAAAAUAUUGCUCCUAUAUAUAUAAUUAUAUAUAUCUUCUUAUGAAGUUAUACUUUGCUUCAUUCUAACAUAAUUUCUUUGGACAUUAUGCGCCUUCUUGUAAUUUUUGUUUUCGUCUAAAAAAAUACACAUUUGAGCAGUUUUUUUUUUUUACAAAAGCUUGCUUCUGUGUUAAGGUUCAUGCGGCCAAUCUAACAACAGAACCAUUACAAACCAAAAACAAGAGGAAAGGAAAACUAGCAACAAAUUAAGAAUUAUAGAGGAAGUUGAAUUGCUCUAGCUACCCAAACUGAUUGAGGUUCAUUUAGUUUGAAUUGAGAUUGCCCAGGAACCCAAGUCGAUCACGAUCAAGAUCGAUACACUGGUUAUGAAUUUUUCUUAAACAAGCUUUACUCCUAAACCGAAAACAAAGUAAGGAUUAGCAUGGAUAAUGAAACCGUAACACAAAAUGGUAAAGGCUAAGGGUGUGGCAUUGAAAAGUGACAAGUCGAUGGAAAAGCUUAUAUGGACAUCCUUGUCUUGUUGCUCGAUUAUGUCAUUCAUUUAUCCUCCAAUUUGAACAUGUAACGGGGUCCUACGACGUUAGCCUCCAAAGCGAUUGUGCUUUCUAUCGUAAUCUUAAUCUCCCACAAUCCUCAGCACCUCUAUCUCCAAAUUAAAUUCCAAUAAUGAAUAAUUAAUUUGCAUGACAUUUGAAAAACAAAGGUGCCGCGGGCAUAUCGAUCCCACCUCUAUCUCCUUAUCCUCUACGAGAGAGAGAAUCAAACAUUAGCUACUAGUCUCUGCUACUAUGUUUGGCUUAUUCAUUUCCCAUAUAUGUAUAUACAUCAUACAUCAGCAUCCCACUUGAAUUCUAAUACUUCUAUUAAGGUGUAGGUCCGCAGCUCCCAAUUAAGAAAUUGGAGAGAUCAGGGUCGACGACUCAGUUGCUUCAAAACUAUUUUCAUUGGAUGAACAUUAUCUGCAGCCUGUUCCGAUCUGAUGCGCGCAUAAUCUAAUUAUUUUAGGGUCUCUUCAUGUUAAUAGGAUAUAAUGUAUAUAGUCAUUCUAUUUUCAUUUAUCUUUUGUUUUUUGUUUUUCAAUUCUACAAGUAAUUAACGAAUGCCGAAUAUGUAUUGUAACCUCUUACUUACAAAUGAGAUAUUCUUGUUACUAUAUAUUUGGUAUUUAGACAAUAGCUUAAGAGUUUUGUACUUCUUUAAACUAUAUAUAGCUAGCAUUUGUGUGAAUGAAAACAACCUUACUAUAGCUAGUAUUACGAGACAUGGAAAUACUAGAAAAAAAGAUAUAUGUCAAGAAAAUCCUUAAUUAGCAAAACAAAUUGAAUUCAUGUUCGAAAAUGUGGAUUUACAUGCAAUGUAUAGUAUAUAUGAUACGCACGCAUGCCACUAUCCUUGUUCAUCUAGUAAUAUUAUCCAUCCGGAGAACAAGUAUUAAUGGAUGCUGCACUCACUAUCUUCUAUGUCUCUGGCUCUCUGCUUCUUCCUUGUUCCAUAAAAACUAAAACAACACUUUUACAGUUGCACCGGUAUGUUUAGCAAUCGGGAUAUUCUUAUAGACGAAGUUGGCUUCCCGAUCUCUUUUGAUAUGUGUCAUGGUCCCGCAAAGGACGCCUGUAAACGGCGAUCGAUGCUGACUGGUAAUUAGGGCAAACCAGCCAAGUGGGUUUGGGGGUGGUAGCGAUGGUGGGCUGUCGUCUUGUUCCGAUUUCAAAAGCGUGUCGUGAGUCACUCGUGUCGCCACCGCUACACCAGGUGGCAAGGAAGCUCUCGGCCUCAAGCUAUCUUGAAUCUCUUCCAGUUUUGUGGCUCACACAUAAUCACGUACACAGAUACCUAAAUAUUUGGUAACCUCUGUAUACCUGAUCGAUGAUUAGACAAGAUUGUUACCGACCUGUUGGGUCAGGACCAUGUUUAUGGAACCCUAGCCGAUAUCGGAAUCGGUUUCUAUGGCCACGGCAGAUUGGAAUGUGGGAAAAUUAUUAUUUGUACUCGGAAUACCACCUAUUUUAUGUUCCUAUUUAAUCUCAUUAGUCCACGUGUUUUAUCCUUAUUUCUGAUUGGUGUCCGUGGCUUGGUUGGUUAAGGUGUUUAACUGACAACUUUGAGGUCAUUGGUUCAAACCUCAUUGACGUAUGUAGGGUGUGUGAAUUAUUAAUAAAAAGUUAAAAAAAAAAAAAAAAGAAUUGGUGUAUUUAAUUACUUUUUUUUUUUUUCCACCCUAUGCUGGUCCCCACAUGAAUCUGAGUUAUAUGAUUGGCCGGGUACAACACCUGACAGUGUCACGUGGUGUUCCGGGUACAGAGAAUAAUUACUCAUGUGAAGCUCAGCAUGCGUCUAGCAUGUGUAUCAUACACGUAUCAGCCACGUAGUUAUGUGUGUGAUUUGAUUUAGUUUGGUUUGGCGUGCUCCCAAUUAUGUGGGAAUUGGUAAAUUAAGUGAUGGGGCUGGGGUAGGGGUGGACCUGGAGCUCUUCCGUCGUGAAGCGGCGGAAGGAAUAUAUAGUUGUUAUCGGGCAGUGAAUUGAAGGUUGAGAAUUUUCAAUAUGAAGGAAACUGAUGCAGAAAUACUCGAAAGCUAUUGGAAGGGAAAUAAUGGAUUCACUAAUGGAUGUUAAUUAGCAUAUAUAAAUUGUCUUUCUACUGCAUUGGUGUAGCUCAAAUACAUGUUAAGAUAAAGUGUGAAAUCUCUACUACAAUAAAGCCGGGCGUUUAACAAAUUCAUCAAAAUGUGAACUGUCAAUUUUGCCCAGCUAUCACAUUAUCCUUACAACCAAACACAAAGGUUAUUAUGGUAAAAAGAUUAAAAAAAAACAAAAUAAAAAAGUAAGCUAGAUAAAAAAUGAGAUAACUGAGAAGACAAAAGUGGGAAAGAGAUAACUGCAACGGGUUUCGUUAUAACUGCCAAGAAACUUCUCAGUCCCCACUACCCACUAACUUCAUAAAAUGAAAAAAAAAAAAAAAGUUAACAAAUGAGAAAAAAAAAAACUAUCUACUGAAAACGUUUUCGACAUGCGAGUAUCGCGGGUAUAGAGUGUGAAAUGUUAAAUAGUGGCUCAAUAGUUUUUGUCCAGUUGGAUGUACAUACUCUCCAUUUGAGGUUCGAAUUGUGAAGCUAUUAAAGUGGUCAGACAUUCAUUGUGUUGCAAUGCAAAGUUGAAAUGCGCUAGGGGAUAGUGGUCGAAAGUUCUAUAUGUUGAAACCAAUUCCAUCCUUUGGCCUUUUCCAUUGAAACCCUCAAUUUCAUCCUCUAGCCUUUUCAAUUUUGAUCCGAUUAGAUUAAACGCUCAUAAUAAGAUAACAUUAUCUUCGACAUCGGGUCCUCACCUCAUGUGUUUGAAACAUUUGGACUAGUUUUUUGGGUUUCAGUGUUGUUAACGGCGUUCGCAUAUAUACAUGUGAUAAGGUCACGUGGAUAGCUAGAUCAUAUAUAAGACUGAGAUUGUAUAUUAAUUGUUCGGUUCAUUUACACUUUGGUGCCUACAAAAAUUUACUAAAUGUGUGCUCGAAAAUUCUAUAUGCUUCGAAGCUAGCAUACAUAGUUGCAAUACAUCGUAAUUCUUUUUGAGUCGGGGUACCAUAUAUCAUAUUAUGUAAAGAAAACAUAUGUGAAAUUACGCAUUGCAUUGCAUGUAUUGAAAUAUCGCAUAUAUAUUCUCUAUGUGGAGGGCAAUGUGAAGAAGGGAAGUAUAAUUAAUAUUCCAAAGUUAUAUUCGUCUCUCAUCUCACCAAAGCAUUGAAAAUUGGUGAGAGUGAAGUGAAUAAGAUUUUAUACCAAAAUCUGUACUUGAAAAUGCUAUAUUCUCCAGCUUUCAAAGUGGUCGAUUAGGUUUCGAAAAGUUCAUGAAACAUUGGAUCAAGUCGGUCACUAAAACAACGAUAAGUAGUUAGUCGAUCGAACAUGAAAAAUCAACUUGACGGUGAGACCAAAUCCGGGCAUCGUCCCCACAGCUUUUUCCGAUGAAAUGAAGGGUCUAUCUUGACGAGGAAUCAAAGUGAUUUCCAGAGAGCAAGAGAAACGAAAAGGAAAAAGCGAAAAGGGCAAAAGGGUAGAUGACAUUGCAUACCAUGAACAUCCAAAACCGUCCAAAUUAAAUCAAGGAAACUGAUCCAUCGAUCUAUAUAUAUAGGUUUGUAUUGGAUGCCCGACUUUUUUGACCUAGAUACAUCACUCCAAACAAACCAUUGGUUUUCAUGAAAUGGUAAUGGCUGUUGCUAGAGCCUCAAGAGUCGAGAUAUGCUCUGAUCGUGUAAUAUAUAUGCUAAUUUGAAAUUGUUUUCUACUUUAAAAGAAAAAAAAAAACUAAUAUGCAAUAGAAACUCGAAAACGCAUAUCUAGAUACAAAAGUUUAGAAAAACCGGAUCCGAACUGUUCAAAAUUGAAAACUCGAAAACGCAUUUCUAGAUACAAAAGCUUAAGAAAAUCGGAUCCGAACGGUUCGAAAUCGAUUCAAGUUUGGAUUAAUUUACCGCAACUGGAUCCAUGCAAGGGACUACCAUACCACCACCACCUACACUUAGCCGUUGCAGAGAGAUAAUGACCGAUAUUUACCAAUGCAUCCACCUAAACUCAAGGUUUUCUCAUUUUAAUUCAGUUCACUACAACAGUAUAGGGCAAAGGUCAGUUGCAAAUCACCUUAUAUGUGACAUUUUCUUUCAUACCCCACCAAUACCUACACUAUUCCCUCAUUUGCUAUAUAUAAGGUGAUUUGUAACACCUCUAAAGGCCAAACACCUCCACACAAGAUGUGUGGCAUUUGCCCAUAUUGUUGUAGUGGUUGUAUGUUACGCAUAUGCUUAAGAAGUCAAUCAUAGGGGACCUAGAAAGUGAAUGGAGACUUGGGAGCUAGUGUUAGAGUGUUACUUAGUCUAUACGUUAAGCUAAUUAAUGCAUAAGAACAAAAGUCGAUUCAGAUAUUUCUGGAACAACAAAGAGAAGUCGAUUCAGAUAUUUUGCAACAGAAGCUUUUGAACUCUGAAAUAUCUCUCUCUUCAUAUGUCGGUCGUGCUGUUAAAUUUCACCUAACACAGGUUGCUGGCUUUACCAGGCCCUACGUGAUAAAAGAUGAUGGAUCCUAAAGUGAAUUGCUCGUACGGGCUUGGUCUGCAUGUCUUGUUCGUGCGGCCCAAUUAUCCAAGGAUCUGGCCCACGAUAAUUGAGUGUGUUGCACUUUUCUUUUAAGGGGGGUGUAUUGUAAUUGGAUUCAUACAGACUAAUUUUAAUCAAUUGACUUUUUAAAAAGUCUAUAGACUCUUUGAAAAGUUUAUAGACUUUCACUGAUUUCUUAAAACCAUCGAUUUUUAAUCACAGACUUUAACUGAUUUCUGAAAUCUACAGAUUUCAUAUGAAUGACUUAUGUAGAUUUCUUAAUACUUACAGAGUUACAUAAAAGGAAAAAUAAAAAUAAAGAUGCAAUGACAAACACAUAAUAACACCGAUUAUAAGUUUAGUGCUCAUCUAUCUAAUUUCGAUACAUACCGUUGUAAUAUUUGAUUGAAAUACAUAAACAUAAGUAACAAAAAAAAACUAUAUUAACUUAACAACACGCAUACUUGUACGUUAACUAAAGACACAUAUUCUAAAGUGGGACAUUAGAUGUUCACAGUUUAAUUCAUGUACUCUAAUAUAAUAAUAUAUGAUCAUGUGGUUCUAAUAUCAAGAGUUAGUAUAUAACAUUUAGGUUAUCGAGGGUUCCAAGCAUUACAAUUGAAAUACAACAAAAUAUUAACAUUCAAAAAACAUUGAAAAGAAUAGGUAGAAUAGAACAUUGAUAGCACAAAAUAUUAUAAAAAAGAAAAAAAAGAUGAUGUAUUGUGGGAUCAACCUAUUCACAUGUAAAGAGAAAGUCUAUCGUAGACUUUUCUAAAUCUUUGCUCUAGUGGAUGAAAAAAUAUUGGAGUUUGGUGUGUGUAAUUUACACUACAAAGUCCAUAAUUAUCCAUGAGUUAUUAAUUCCAUAAGUAUGAAUGAUAUUUUGAAUACAUCUGAACUUCUAUUCAUUUUAAAAAGUCUUAAUUGAAUACCUCUGAACUUUGGUGGAAUUCAUAAUGAUUUUUUAAAAUCUAGUUGAAUACACCCAGACUUUGAUAGAUUUUUAAAAGUCUGUAUUGAAUACACCUAAACUUUCAAAUUCCAUAGACUUCUUUAAAACUUCCACUAAUUCCAUAUACAAUACACCCCUCUAAGAUUUUCAUUGAUAGACUAUGCAUCAAACGUUAAGAAAUUGUGUGAUGGCGUUAAACUCCCACCUAUCAAAUGUUGGGUCAAUUUGGAAUUUUUGUCGAAUGCAUUUUCAUUGUUGAGAAGGUUGAUUUGGAAAGUGCACACAUACAAUAAUGCAAGUAUAAAAUAAGAUAAGCCCAUUACUGUUUGUCAGUAUCCUCACAUUGUAGACCAGAACUGGUUCUCUAUCCACACUCGCUACCGUCAGAACUCGGUGACGAGUCUUCUCCGGCGGUUAGAAGAUAUGAGCUUUUUUGGGCUGCUAGGCUUUAGGUUUGUUUGAUAUUUUUGUUGUUAUGCAUGCCAAAAGACAAAAAGACACACAAACAAAAUCAUGGCAGGUUUAGAAACAAAUCACUCAAAGUCAUAUUCAAAAAGUUUCAAGAUAUGAGUAGAACAUAAACUAAAUAAAACAAAUAUAAUACAUAAAUACGGACAGUCUUGCGCGACGUUUUGAUGCAGGAUACAAUAUGGAUCAUUUAGAACUUAAAAUUAGAUUACAUAAAUACAAAUGCAUGGAGAUCUCCACAUGUGAAUGAUUAAAAUUAUACUAUGUACUUGCACAUUUUGGUACGUCUUGAUGAUGCUACUGGGCCAACAAACGAAAAAACUGCUACAUAUGGUUGGUUCAAUCGAUCUCUAGUUUGAAUGCAAAACCAAACCAAAAUACGUAUUCCCAGUUUGCUUUCCUCCUCAAGCAUAUACUGGACUUUUCAAACUGGGCUGAUGCGCGCUUCUGUUCUCGUCCCUUCAUGCUUUUGAAGCUCAGUUAUUCCCUCAAAAGAGAAAUUUCUUUCUGUUUGAGCCCUAGAGGUUUGUUUUGGUUAGAAGAAGAAGAGCCUAGCUUGGAGAUUCUUUUGCCUCUAGUUUGUCCAAAGCUUAAAUCCCCAGUAUUUGUUCUACAGCAUUAAAUUUAACAUCCUCCUUGCAAAUAGACCAAAGUUGGACCCGACCCAUCACUCUACCUAGCCUUUCCAUAUGGAUAAUGGUGUUAGAUUCUUCUUCCUCAAUUUUUUUUCUUCAAAAUUUCAUAUAUUUUUUCAGUAUUGACCAGGGAAAUACACGAGUGGUGAUCACCACUGAGAAGUCUCUCUUGAAGUACAAGCACCACUCGUUCUAAAUCGAACCAAAACAAGUAGCCAAAUCCAUUCCCCAUCUCCCUUUCUUUCCACCAAAAAAAAGAAAAAAAAAUUCAUAUAUCCAAUUCCAAAAUGCACACUCCUCCUCCUUUGCUCUACCACCACCACCUACCAUCUCCUCCCCUUCUUCUCCAUAUUCCAUGGCCAAGAAUCCACCUGAAUAAUCCCCUAGUGAUUCUUCUUCACUCUGUCCCUGUUACUCACCCUAGCUCACUUUCUUCACCUAACCAUGAUUCCCUCUUACUGCUUAUCAUCUUCAAGAAACCAAGCAUUGCUUCUCCACAGCUCUCAUCUCUACCUCCCAAAACACAGACUUUGUGAAUCCCAGUACUUUCCCAAAAAGGAAACAAACUUCCUCAAACCCAAGUCUUCUUUCUUCCCCAUCUUGAGGCUAAAUAACUCCAAACUUACACACCCUUUUGCCUUAUCUUCAUUCGCAGAAGGCGAAGAACACGAACAAAAAGAAGUUCAAGUGAAUCAAGAAACCUCAAAAACCGAUGAUGACGAGCGUGGAAUGGCUCAGGCCUUCCACAUAUCUUCCAGAACCGCCAUGGCCAUUUCCUUAUGCAUAGCAUUUGCUGCCCUUUCUCUUCCCUACUUCAUGAAGUCCUUAGGACAAGGCCUGCCCUUGAAGACCAAGCUGUUGUCUUACGCAACCCUACUGUUCGGGUUCUACAUGGCUUGGAAUAUUGGAGCCAAUGACGUGGCGAAUGCCAUGGGGACUUCGGUCGGCUCGGGGGCGUUGACUCUCCGGCAGGCCGUGGUGACCGCCGCGGUGUUGGAAUUCUCGGGGGCGUUUCUGAUGGGGACUCAUGUGACGAGUACAAUGCAGAAAGGGAUUCUGGUGGCGAAUGUGUUUCAGGGGAAAGAUUCUCUGCUUUUUGCUGGCUUGCUUUCUUCUCUUGCUGCUGCUGGUACUUGGUUGCAGGUAAUAUAUUGCUUCUUCCUUCCUCUGUUUUCUAUUUAGCUCAGUUAUCAAAUUAUCCCAGUAAAUUUCGUUCUUGUUCUUCUUAGAAAUUUCACGUCAGCAUUAACAUACUGAAUUACCAUUCUGCAUGGAAAUGCAAAUUAACAGUACACAAUGACAUGUAUAAUUACAAGAUUACUCAGUGGAUCGGACAUAGACACAUAGUACAUUUCUUAACAGUUUAUACUAGGAAGAAUGAGAUUGUAGAAAGCUAGGAAUGGAUUAAUUUUGUAUGGAUCAUGAAGGAUAUGGAUAUAUAGAAUCUGGGAAAGAUAAGUGGGUCCCCCGUGCUGAUAUCAGGAAUAUUGCUUUGGCCUAGUUGGCUAGGCACAUCCGCAUUGGCAGCAAGAAGCCAAGAAGUUGAGGAGAAUAUUUAUUUCUCUUGUUAAAUCUUUGAAGACAUUGGAUGUGAAUUGUCCAGUAGUUUGGUUUUUCCAAAGUGGCAUACAUGAGUCAAACUAAUCAACCAAAGGAAAUAGCAUAUAUAGAAAUAGAAAUUAUUAUAUGUACAACGUGUAUUUACACGACACAAUCUUAACCGUUUAUAACAAUUCAUAUGUUUGACCAUCAUGUUUUUAUAUUAUUUUCUCUAAUCCUGACCAUCAAUGUAUAUAUGUGAAGAUACACAUCGUAUAUUGAAGAUGCUCUCAUAUAGAAUAAGAAUUUCCAUAUAAUGAGUGAUAGAAGUGAAGAACAAAUGCCAAAGUGCCAAACUGUAUCCAGUCUACAACCAUUUUAGAACACUUGUUUCUAAUAUAUGUGUGAGCAAAUAGAAUAUUACUGAGAGAAAAUCCUCGGGGGUUUUUUACUUUUUGAUGCAUUUUGAAUGUAUAUCUCCGUAGAAGUAUGCUUGCAUCAAUUUACAUGUUGUUUCUUUGAUUCUUGCUUUGCAAUCCAUGAAUAAUUGUUUUCUGCUAGUCAGGUUGCAUCAUACUAUGGCUGGCCUGUGUCAACAACACACUGUAUAGUAGGAUCAAUGGUUGGAUUUGGAUUGGUCUAUGGUGGAGCAGGUGCCGUAUUCUGGAGCUCACUGGCAAGAGUGAUUUCUUCAUGGGUUAUCUCACCAUUCAUGGGAGCACUGGUCUCCUUCACCGUCUACAAAUGCAUCCGUAGGGUAUGUUCUCCUUCCUUGGAGAUGACAGUCUCAAAUGGUCUACUGCCCUAAAAUCAUAUUUCGUUAUGCCGUUGGCUUAUGAUAACAUAAACAACUUAACUUAUUACCUGCUAAUCAAUGGUCCUUACAAGGAAAAAUUCCACAUGUAAGCUAAGAGUGAAAGACAUUUUGUACUUCUAGAUUCUUAGUUCGUACAACCCUUCUUACUUUUUCCAAUGUGUUUUCAGUUUGUCUAUAGUGCUCCAAAUCCCGGACAAGCUGCAGCUGCGGCAGCACCGAUUGCUGUGCUUGUGGGUGUAACUGCAAUCUCAUUUGCAGCGUUUCCCCUUGGAUCAAGCUUGCCGUUGGCAGUGGCAAAGGCUCUAGGCUGUGGAGCUGCCGGUGCUCUACUUGUGUCCAGAGUUAUUCAAGGGCAGCUCGGUGAUCUCCUUCUCAAGUCGAAAUCCUCAUCGCACACAGAAUCAACAGAUGUCCACAAAGAUAUCGGGUUUCUCUCUGAUAUUGCAGGUCCAACUGGUACUCAGCUGAAAAUAGUAUACGGGGUGUUUGGAUACAUGCAGAUACUCUCAGCCUGCUUCAUGUCAUUUGCUCAUGGUGGCAAUGACGUCUCCAAUGCAAUAGGUCCUUUGGCUGCUGCAUUAUCUAUCCUGCAAGGUGGUGCUGCUGGAGCUGACAUUGUUAUUCCAACCGAUGUUCUAGCGUGGGGAGGUUUUGGAAUCGUAGCUGGUCUUACAAUGUGGGGAUAUAGGGUUAUAGCAACAAUUGGGAAGAAGAUCACAGAACUGACACCGACUAGAGGAUUUGCAGCUGAGUUUGCUGCAGCCUCUGUGGUUCUGUUUGCGUCUAAGCUGGGACUACCCAUCUCUGCAACUCAUACUUUGGUGGGUGCAGUAAUGGGGGUCGGAUUUGCAAGGGGGCUUAACAGUGUUAGAGCAGAAACUGUGAGGGAAAUUGUGCUUUCUUGGGCAGUGACAAUUCCAGCUGGUGCUUUCUUUUCUGUUUUGUACACAUGGAUCUUGACCAAGCUGUUAUCCUAUGUUUUGUGAGUGUUGUAGUGAUGAACUGAUGAUAUAGAAGUGUUGAACAGCAGAUGUACGUCUUUUAUUGAAAAAAACAUACAUCUACUUCUUUUGAAAUUGAUCUGUAAAAUCGAUGAUCCUUCUUAAAUGUUCUCAAAGCCUUGAUCUCUUUUUAGUAUCUGUACUAUGGCAUUUCUAAUCUAGCAUUUAAACUAUGAAUCAGGGAUGACAUGACUGUUGAUUAACAAAUGCAGCUCAAGUGCAGAUAUAAAAUGCAAACACCAUAUGAAGUAUUCCAGUUAUUAACAAGCUACCUAUUACAAAAAUUUGAUUCAAUUUCCCAUUAAGUGUUUCUCAUACAUACAUCUUUUCCUGCGCGCUCCGGCUGCACGUUCAAUAUCAGGAAUGGUUCCCUAUAGAAGUCAACAUACUCGAUCAUUCUGUAAUGCUUUAAGUUUAUUCUCAUGUUCUCGUUAGGUACUUGAGUCCUCUUUAGGUUUACAACCAUGUUCUAUGUCUCCUUACUUCAUUACACUCUUUAUCUAUAAAUUUGACAAUUGAGGGCUGGUAAGCUAUAUAUAAGGGCUAGCAUGCUCAACAUCCUCAUACGCUAGAUAACAAGAAGUUGUAUAUGGUGGGAUUCUUUCAUAAGUUUACGAUUUUCUUCGUCGGUGAAGUUAUAUAUGGAGGGAUUCUUUCAUAAGUUUACAAUUUUCUUCGUCGGUCUCCUAUUUCUAAUGGUAUAAUGAUUAUCUACAUUCUUCUGAUGUUUGCUUAUUGUAUUAAUCUCUAUUACUAGCUAGAUAGACAUGAUAUUUUUGUGUGUUUUUAAUGUAGGGACAAUGCCAAAUGCAAACACAAUUUGGCUGCCAAAAUAUACACCAACACGCGAAACUCGUAACAAAAAGUUCCACGGAAUACUAGAGAUAGGGACAGAUGUGUCUCUCUUUGCCGAAACGAGGGAUUCGAUAGCGGCGACUGUUGCGGUCGCAGUAAAUGUUUCUGCAUAAACAGGGAGAUCAAAGGAGUUACCAACCAUGGAACUCUAAUAUCAGAUCAAUUUAUGAUUCUAUGAACAAUGGUGAUUAAUCAGUUGAUGAUUGUGUUCUAAAUAAUUAUCAAGUGACGUUCUAAAUAAUUUGAUGAUUAUCAAUUAUAAUCUAAGGAGGAUGACCUACUACUCUUUCUCUCACACUGAGCCCAUCUAGUGUCUCACAUUACACACAGAAUGUGGAUUCCUUCUGGAAACACAUAACCGGUUGGUCCAUCGAUCUCGUAUUCUCGUUGUCCUUUUAUUGAUAUCGUUAAAGAAACGUUUCAGAUUUAGAAAAUUAUAGAGAGUUUCAUCUCGCUCUCUAUAUUUAGAGAGCAAGAUAGUUAAAAUAAGCUGGAAAUGGUAUACGUAUUAUUAUGUAUAAAUGUUUAGGUGCAUUUCUCAGACUUUUCAUCUGAUAUAGCAAUUCAGUUACGUACCAGACUAUCAAAGCCAUAUCAGAAAGUCAUGGAGAGACUUCUUCUUGUACAGACGUGAGAUUAGGCUCCCAUCCGAACCCUUUACCUGAUCUAACCUUUGGAAGGGGGAGGUACAAACGACUUCUUUCCUCUAAUUCCCCUCCUGCGUGAAAAUUUUGAACUCUUUUCUUCCCCUUACGAAUCUGCAGUGAUCUAUCCACCCAGAAUCAUCUCUUCAUCUUCUUCAUCUUGUUCUUUGGCCUUCACCUUAUUCUGUUGUUUACGCUCAACUUUCUGUACUGUUGUACAUGUUAUCAUACUGUUAUAUAAUACUUGUGACCAGGCAAUAGGCUCCCCUCUGGCCUUAAAAAGGACUCCUGAGGCUUUUUGAAAACAUCUGGGCGGGCAACACAUUUCCCAGGAUACUUGUCCAUCAGCAGAGACGCCUGCAUUCAGAAACAGUUCCUCUUGCCCACCUGCAUGAACUAUCCUCACAAGAAAACUUUUGGACUGUGUACUCACUGUACUGUAGUCCAACGAUAAGGAAAGCAGGAGCUAGUUUGGCAUCUCCUCUGGGCAGCUUGUUUGAUGUGUUAACCAAUGUGAAACUCUAAUGAAUAUAAUAAAGCAGCAACUAGGUCUCAGAAUGUAUUUACCAAUUCACAGUUGUGCCUGACACAUCCUUGUGCUAGUAUCAAAGUCCCAUAGGCCAGAUAAUACCUGUCUUUCUAGCUUCUUCAGCCUCCCACUGAUCCAAUUGUUAUGGAGUACCAAACAUCCCUGUUUCACACAGGCUGCUCUCACAUUUUUUCUCUGCCAAAGGCCUAGAUAUGCCCCGUUUGGGAAGAGAUCUCUAUCCAAGAAAUGGACAGUCAGGUUUGUUUCAGGUUCUAAGCAUCUAUUGUUACCCACACGAUAGGAGCCCCCUUCUCCACAUAGUGUGUCAUAGAAGCUUGGCUGUUCAGAUAGACCCGAACUUGCUGCAUGUGCCACCACCUUCUUCAUAGCAGCAAUUGUUGCACUAUCUGAACGGGCAAAGUAGAAGCCAGAGUUCAAGCGUCUAGGUAAGUUGAUUGGUCCUGCAUAGAAAAAAAAAUACCAGAGGCGAUCAGCACAUUGGAUUAAUAUACCAAUGUGAUGGCACAUUGGUGAUAUCAUAACUCAUCCGUUCAUCCAAACAUGCUCUGCAUAUAAAAAAUCAGAAAAAAGAAACCAAAUUGAUUUAAAACAAUUUACACCUAAACAGUACAAAAAUCUAAUAUACCAAUUUCUUUUUCUCUUGAUGUAUAGUUGUGUACCACUGAGAAAGAAGAAGGAUUAUGAAUACAAAAAGCACCUGUUUUGUUGAAUUCAUCCGACUGAGCUGCAAGAACAGCAGGACCAAAAGACGAGAGCAAUGCCAAUGGAUUUUCAAACCAAUAUACAUCCACAUCACUAAGCAGUACACUGUAACCCAUCUUCAGUAUCUUUAGAACCAUUCUGGACUUCACUUUGGUCACCUUCUGAAAACAUUUUGUUCCGAAGUGGCAAUCAUUGAAGCUUAUCUCACUCGGAGCAACUGGAUCCCGGAACACAGGCAGGCCCUAACAGUUGAGAAAAUAGAUAGUCAAAUAAUGUACCACAUUUGGUGAUUUGGAGAUCACUCUACAAGAUAGACGAGCUUCACUUUUUAAAUAGAAACUCUUUAUUUUCACAUCUGCUAUCCAAGUUUCACUCUCCUUUGAAUCAUAUGCAUGUAAAUGAUGAACUGCUGAUAGUGCUUCCAGUAGAAGUGGACAUAUUCAACAUAAACAUGAAGAUAACUAAUAACUAAACAAAGAAAUAAUCAAGUUUAAGUAAACUACCAUCAAGACAGAGAAUUCGUAGAUCUCCUGGUCGAGGGCACAAAUGAUAAAAUUUGUGAUCUGUAGGUGGCGCAUUCGACACACCCAGCUCAUUAGCAUGUCCUUGUAACUAUAUCCAGCAGCAGCAAGCACAAUUGUCUUAUUUUUGUCUGCGUUUAAUUCUAGAAGUGUCUCCAAAGAAAAUGGAUAGUCAAAUGGUUCUGAACUCGUUGUGGGAACCAUGGGAGUGCAAUCUAAUAAAUGGCCUUGUGAUUUGACACCCUCAACCAAAGCCAAACUUUUCUUCUUCCACCGGGAACCCAAGCCAGCACGUCGAUAUGCAGAUGAACAAAUGUUUCCGGUUUUGUUAACAAAACUAUAUUGGCCAUCACAUUUCAAAAGUUUAACUAGGCUAGAGUAAUUAGUUUCAUGAUGAGACAAUGACCCAUAUAAUGCACCAAGAUGAAAGUUUCCGGCAUAUUCCCAGUUUCUUCUUUCAAAAAUGGAAGCAUUGGAAGCUCCAACAGUCCAGUUAUUCAGAUGCCCCUCACCAAUCAAAUAUAAGCUUGAGAUUGUCCAACUGGCAUCAAACACAAACCUGAGCUCCGAUGACAAGGCCUCAUUAGUGACCCAACUAUUGUGCACCCCCCUACCAUACAAAAAAGGAGGAAGGACUCCAGAAUAUAGGGCAAGAUCUCCACUAUUCCAUGCCAUAAGCAGUUUCUGUUCACAGGGAGUUCGCUGCCAACUCUGACGGAUUAUCUCCUGCAACUGAUGGAAGAGAGAACAGUAUCAACAGAGUUAUCUUGAAAGGACCAUUAAAAUUUCAGUCUACAAUAUGCUGUUUCAUACCUUAUGUGUUCUGAUCGAUUUGCCAUCCUUCCUUUGCCAAUGCUUUCCAUCCUCAUCCAAGUAGAAUGGGAAGUAGGACACAUUUUGUGAUGAAGCAACUAGAAGCCAAUCAUCAUCAAGAUUGUAAGCAUAAUUCAGGGUGGAAAUGAAGUCAGGUAAAACAAUUGUUUCUGGAUCAACCAGAACAGAUAUGUCUGGUGAAAAAGACCAUGUUCUUGCCAUCAUCGAAUGAAAAAAUGGGGUACCGAGGAACCUAGACCCACAUAGACAUGUAUCAGAUGGCAAUAAAUAUAUGACAUUUUAGCUCUAAGCCUCUUAUACUACUCGAAGAUUUCCAUGACCCUGAGGCCUGAGAUAGUCCUCAAAAAGACAAAAACCAUCUAAUGGAAGGUACGACUGAUCUGAAGAAAAACCAAAUCCUAUGUUCAAUAGCUAUUAACAUUGCUCAAUUUAAUCAAUUCCGGAACACUCCCUAUCAACAAAUGCCCAAUAACACAAUGCAUCUCCAUUUCCUUUGUAUUUCAGAAAAGCCUCAAGUACUGGAACAAAGCAUACAGAAACCUUUCAGUUUACCAGUUUGUUUUAAUCAACCAAGCUCUAUAGAAAAACAUGCGUUCAACUAAAUGCAUUGCUUUCUACUUAGGUCAUUAGCAGAUUGUUCUCUAAUCAACUAUGCUCUAGAUAAAAUUUUAUAUGCUCAACAAAAUUCAUUGCAUUCAACUAAAGUUAUGAACAAGAAACACAAAGUGAAUGGCUUACGUGAAAUCAAUGCUGCGAUCCACCACAACCCGAGAACCAAGCCCUCCGGCGAAAGAAACAACAGAAGGGUCUUUGCUGAACAGCACAACUCUAAUCUCCGGUGACAAAGCUAGCCAUGAACGAAGAGCCAAACUCUGCCUAACCCCAACAGAACCACUAAACGGCCUCGGCGCCGAGAAUAUAAUAAUUCUCGGCGGCUCUGAAACGCCGGCAACUCGUUGACUGGAAGUUGACCUCGUGAUCUGAUCCUUGAGGGAAGGUAGCCUCUGAGUGGCAUAGAAGGAGAAACCAAUCAACGCAAACCCACAUAGCCAAACUGACCAUAAACCCGAGACUCCUCCUCGAAAUGCCUGUAACAACAUAAAGAAAUUUAGCUUCUUGUUCAUGUGUUAAAAACAAGAGUAAGCAAGCAAACAAAAUCGAAAAUGUAAGAAGCAGAAGUGGACCUUCUUCAUUGUACUUGUUAAAGAACAAUGAACAUAAUGGUGGGUUUGUUUUGUUUAUAUAUGAACUGAGCUUGGUUUGGUAGCAUUUGGAUUUGAGAAGAGAGAGAAUGUAAAGAAUGGAACUUUAACUGAAGAAGAAGAAGAAGAGUUGCAGGAGUAACGAACACACCAGCUUUGCUCUAACCAAAGACAGCGGCCGUCACAGCGGGGAUUCAUGUGAGGUUUUGUCUUCUUCUACACGUCAAAUUCCAUUUCCAAAAACUUCACCGACCUUAUUCCACAUUCUACGAGCUCAAGGUCAACGAAACCAUGCGCUGCUACUUACGACGCCGUUUUCACUUUGAAAUCCGAAUACCAUAUAAUAUUCUAAUCAUCUUUGUGUGUAUUUUUCAAUCCUUGUUCGUUAAUCUUCCAUUGUAUAGAAAUAAACUAAAGUACUAAACAGACUUUUAUAACAUCAUUUUCGGGAUCCAUAACUACGAAGUGUAAUACCCAUUUGCACAAAACACUAUUAGAACGACCUUAAGAGCAGUAAACACGAAAUUGUAUCGAUCAAAACACAACAGCUCAUAUGGAUCGUGAUGCUACAAAACUGUAUCGAGUACUUCCCACGGAGAUCAUAAGCCGCACAUGGAAAACCUGCCUCUUAAGGGUGUGUAUGCUAUAUCUCGGAGACUGAUUGGAUCCACUCAACAAAUACACCUACAUCGUAUUCAGAUGUAUGGCAUUCAACAGCAGUAGCUGUGUAUAGUGCACCAGAUUUCUGUGUGGAACUCAUGCCAAUGCUUAUCGAGGCUUGAAAGCCUUCUGAACAUAACUCUGGAACUUGACUCGUAGGAUCUGAC
RNAcentral lists this long non-coding RNA (23991 nucleotides) under Fragaria vesca (wild strawberry). RNAcentral's name for it is "long non-coding RNA (FVES_LNC005576)". Lineage: Eukaryota; Viridiplantae; Streptophyta; Magnoliopsida; Rosales; Rosaceae. The record is from RNAcentral.